This 88-nucleotide transfer RNA is filed under the name Caudoviricetes sp. RNAcentral describes it as "tRNA-Ser". It matches the Rfam family "tRNA". From Rfam's summary of the family: Transfer RNA (tRNA) molecules are approximately 80 nucleotides in length. Their secondary structure includes four short double-helical elements and three loops (D, anti-codon, and T loops). The record is from RNAcentral. Lineage: Duplodnaviria; Heunggongvirae; Uroviricota; Caudoviricetes.
GUGUGGAUGGCAGAGUCAGGUUUAAUGCGCCAGUCUUGAAAACUGGAAAUCCUUAUUGGAUUCGUGGGUUCAAAUCCUACUCCACACG